GUGAGGAAUAUUGCGCAAUGGAGGCAACUCUGACGCAGCCAUGCCGCGUGCAGGAAGAAGGCGCUACGCGUUGUAAACUGCUUUUAACCGGGAAGAAACCCCAGGACGUGUCCUGGGUUGACGGUACCGGAGGAAUAAGCACCGGCUAACUUCGUGCCAGCAGCCGCGGUAAUACGAAGGGUGCAAGCGUUAUCCGGAUUCAUUGGGUUUAAAGGGUGCGUAGGCGGAGCGUUAAGUCAGUGGUGAAAUCCUGCAGCUUAACUGUAGAAUUGCCAUGGAUACUGGCGCUAUUGAGUGCGAUUGAAGUGGGCGGAAUGUGCCGUGUAGCGGUGAAAUGCUUAGAUAUGGCACAGAACACCAAUUGCGAAGGCAGCUCACUAAGGCGAUACUGACGCUGAGGCACGAAAGCGUGGGGAUCGAACAGGAUUAGAAACCCGUGUAGUCC
This 445-nucleotide ribosomal RNA is filed under the name uncultured bacterium. Its description in RNAcentral is "partial 16S ribosomal RNA". It matches the Rfam family "Bacterial small subunit ribosomal RNA", at positions 354 to 796 of the family's 1533-position model. The record is from RNAcentral.